GGGAGACGGAUCGUUUACUUUGAAAAAAUCAGAGUGUUUCAAGCAGGCAGCUCGCUCUUGCAUGGUACAGCAUGGGAUGAUUGAAUAGGACUCCGGUGCUAUUUUGUUGGUUUCGAACACCAGGAGUAAUGAUUAACAGGGACAGUCAGGGGCACUCGUAUUCCGUCGAGAGAGGUGAAAUUCUCAGACCAAUGGAAGACGAACCACUGCGAAAGCAUUUGCCAGGGAUGUUUUCACUGAUCAAGAACGAAAGUUAGGGGAUCGAAGACGAUCAGAUACCGUCGUAGUCUUAACCAUAAACCA
RNAcentral lists this ribosomal RNA (303 nucleotides) under Phaeocystis sp. RCC5647. RNAcentral's name for it is "SSU rRNA". It matches the Rfam family "Eukaryotic small subunit ribosomal RNA", at positions 738 to 1039 of the family's 1831-position model. Lineage: Eukaryota; Haptophyta; Phaeocystales; Phaeocystaceae. The record is from RNAcentral.